AUGGCGACCGGCGCACGGGUGAGUAACACGUAUCCAACCUGCCGAUGACUCGGGGAUAGCCUUUCGAAAGAAAGAUUAAUACCCGAUGGCAUAGUUCUUCCGCAUGGUAGAACUAUUAAAGAAUUUCGGUCAUCGAUGGGGAUGCGUUCCAUUAGGCUUGUUGGCGGGGUAACGGCCCACCAAGGCAUCGAUGGAUAGGGGUUCUGAGAGGAAGGUCCCCCACAUUGGAACUGAGACACGGUCCAAACUCCUACGGAAGGCAGCAG
This 266-nucleotide ribosomal RNA is filed under the name uncultured bacterium. Its description in RNAcentral is "partial 16S ribosomal RNA". It matches the Rfam family "Bacterial small subunit ribosomal RNA", at positions 88 to 354 of the family's 1533-position model. The record is from RNAcentral.